UACAACGGCCACUUGGUGUCUC
Molecule: non-coding RNA, 22 nt
Filed under: Arabidopsis thaliana (thale cress)
Lineage: Eukaryota; Viridiplantae; Streptophyta; Magnoliopsida; Brassicales; Brassicaceae
Source: RNAcentral